Molecule: small nuclear RNA, 103 nt
Organism: Cebus imitator (Panamanian white-faced capuchin)
Lineage: Eukaryota; Metazoa; Chordata; Mammalia; Primates; Cebidae
Source: Ensembl
GUGCUUAAUUUUGCAGCACAUAUACUAAAUUAGAACCAUACAGAGAUUAGCACGGCCGCUGCCCAAGGAUGUCACACAAAAUUGUGAAGGGUUCCAUAUUUUU